Molecule: long non-coding RNA, 1016 nt
Organism: Arvicola amphibius (Eurasian water vole)
Lineage: Eukaryota; Metazoa; Chordata; Mammalia; Rodentia; Cricetidae
Exons: 3
Source: RefSeq, a predicted model, not a curated record
GCUAGGGUUUGUAGUCCCCGUUGCAGCCCGGGCCUGUGGCGUGCUGAGUCACCACCCUAGAAGCUCUCAGUGGGGUUUUUCCAUAACUUUGAGGUUUGGAAAUGUCCCAGACUCUCCUGCUCUAGCUGGAAUCUCAUCUCUGGCGUUCCCAGAGGCUUUCUGCCCUCUCUGGGAAACAGCUGCUCAAAGACGGAAAGGCUGGAAAUGGAGCCCCAGGCCUUGCAUACGCUAGCCAUAUGACUGCACGUGAUCAAAGAUGAUUGCCGUCUCCUGAAUGAUCCAGGCUCCGUACAGAUACUCACCUUUUCUGUUAGUAUACUUGGUACAUGCCCAAGCUAUGUGAUCUUAAACAAAUGACCUAACCUCUCUGACGUUCGGCUGUUAUCCUGGCCAGGGCUUCCCGAGGGAGAGCUUGAGGAAAAGGUUUGUGAAGAGGUAGUUUGUUUGAGAAUGUGACUCCAGGAAGCAGGAAAGAUGGGCAGGGGACUGAAUCCUAGAAGAAAACCUGUAUAAGGCGGGUCAGCACACUGGCAAACGCUGUGGGUAUCUAGGGCUCCCUGCCAUCAUGACCUUCCCCAGAAAACCUGAAAUGUCUCAGAAUUGUCUUCUGGAGAACAAGCGCUUACCCACUGGCUCCUCUCUCCUAAUGGUCAAGGGAGACCCACAGACCCUAAGUUCCGCGUGCUUAUGAGCUACAUAUGCUGAGAUGGGUGCCCUUUGGUUAUCUACUUCUCUGUAUUCAGGAAACGUGUUCGCUAGGUUUUGGUCAACUUGACACAAUCUCGAUUCAUCUGAGAAGAAGGAACCACAAUUCCAGAAGACUGACCUGUGGGGCGUUUUCUUUAUUAAUGGUUAAUGUGGGAGAACCCAGUCGUUGGUUGGUGCCACCCUUGAGUAGGGGGUCAUGGAUGGUAUAUGAAUGCAAUCUGAGCAAACCAUGUAGAGCGAGUAAGGAAGCAGCUCUCUUCCAUGGCCUCUGCAUCAGUUCCUGUCUCCACAUUCUUGUCCUGCUUGAG